Odontomachus brunneus is the source of this 76-nucleotide small nuclear RNA. The record is from RefSeq and is a predicted model, not a curated record. Lineage: Eukaryota; Metazoa; Arthropoda; Insecta; Hymenoptera; Formicidae.
GUACAGUAUGAAAGGAGAGAUGUUUGGCACUCCCCUAGACAAGGAUGGACAUGAUGAGGUUCGAAAGUUUCCUUUU